Molecule: ribosomal RNA, 253 nt
Filed under: uncultured bacterium
Lineage: Bacteria
Description: partial 16S ribosomal RNA
Rfam family: Bacterial small subunit ribosomal RNA
Source: RNAcentral
UACAGAGGGUGCAAGCGUUAAUCGGAAUUACUGGGCGUAAAGCGUGCGUAGUCGGUUAUUUAAGUCGGAUGUGAAAUCCCCGGGCUCAACCUGGGAAUUGCAUUCGAUACUGGAUAGCUAGAGUUCGGCAGAGGGAAGCGGAAUUUCUGGUGUAGCGGUGAAAUGCGUAGAUAUCAGAAGGAACAUCAGUGGCGAAAGCGGCUUCCUGGACCGGAACUGACGAUCAGGCACGAAAGCGUGGGGAGCAAACGGG